RNAcentral lists this ribosomal RNA (812 nucleotides) under uncultured archaeon. RNAcentral describes it as "bacterial SSU rRNA". It matches the Rfam family "Archaeal small subunit ribosomal RNA", at positions 496 to 1309 of the family's 1478-position model. The record is from RNAcentral.
CACUAUUAUUGAGCCUAAAGCGUCCGUAGCCGGUCUUGUAAAUCUCUGGGUAAAUCCUGCCGCUUAACGGUGGGAAUGCUGGAGAGACUGCAAGACUGGGGAUCGGGUGAAGCGAGAGGUACUCCUGGGGUAGGGGUAAAAUCCUGUAAUCCUGGGGGGACGACCGGUGGCGAAAGCGUCUCGCUAGAACGACUCCGACGGUGAGGGACGAAGGCUAGGGGAGCAAACCGGAUUAGAUACCCGGGUAGUCCUAGCUGUAAACGCUGCACACUUGGUGUUGCCCCUUCUUUGGGAAAGGGCAGUGCCGGAGCGAAGGUGUUAAGUGUGCCGCUUGGGGAGUAUGGUCGCAAGGCUGAAACUUAAAGGAAUUGGCGGGAGAGCACCGCAACGGGAGGAGCGUGCGGUUUAAUUGGAUUCAACGCCGGAAAACUCACUAGGGAAGACCAUGGUAUGAGGGUCAACUUGAAGAAUUUACUCGAUUACAUGGAGAAGUGGUGCAUGGCCGUCGUCAGCUCGUACCGUAAAGCGUUCACUUAAGUGUGAUAACGAGCGAGACCCCCGUCCACUUUUGCCAGUACUCUCGCGAGAGAGCACGCACUAUGUGGAGACUGCCAGUGUUAAACUGGAGGAAGGAGAGGUCAACGGCAGGUCAGUAUGCCCCGAAUUCCCUGGGCUACACGCGCGCUACAAAGGACGGAACAAUGGGCUGCGAUCCCGAAAGGGAGAGCCAAUCCCGAAAUCCGUUCGUAGUUCAGACUGAGGACUGUAAUUCGUCCUCACGAAGCUGGAUUCCGUAGUAAUCGCGAUUCAAC